RNAcentral lists this ribosomal RNA (254 nucleotides) under uncultured bacterium. RNAcentral describes it as "partial 16S ribosomal RNA". It matches the Rfam family "Bacterial small subunit ribosomal RNA", at positions 524 to 776 of the family's 1533-position model. The record is from RNAcentral.
UACGUAGGCAGCGAGCGUUGUUCGGAGUUACUGGGCGUAAAGCGUGCGUAGGCGGUGUCUUAAGUUUGUUGUGAAAUCUCCCGGCUUAACCGGGAGGGUGCGGCGAAUACUGAGAUGCUGGAGUGCCGGAGAGGUAAGGCGGAAUUCCUGGUGUAGCGGUGAAAUGCGUAGAUAUCAGGAGGAACACCUGCGGUGUAGACGGCUUACUGGACGGUAACUGACGCUGAGGCACGAAAGCGUGGGUAGCAAACAGG